RNAcentral lists this ribosomal RNA (423 nucleotides) under Triticum aestivum (bread wheat). Its description in RNAcentral is "partial small subunit ribosomal RNA". Lineage: Eukaryota; Viridiplantae; Streptophyta; Magnoliopsida; Poales; Poaceae. The record is from RNAcentral.
AUCUGGCGUGCUAGGAUCCCUCCUAAAAUCAAGAUUUUCAUGUGGCAAGCUUUUAAGGGCCGCCUGCCUGCUGCUGACCAAAUUCGUAAGCGCGAUGGUCCUGGCUCGGACAGAUGCGCUUUAUGCGGGGACCUAGAGGACACAAAUCAUAUCUUCUUCCAUUGUGUCUUGGCCAAGGUGGUCUAGUGUUGUAUUAGAUCGUGGCUCGGGGUCUCCUGGAAUCCUUGCUCAUUCUCUGAGCUCGGGAUUUUAGCUAAUGGCCUCGUUGGGGUCACUAAACGCAUGUUUUGGCUUGACCUAGCUGCGAUUUGUUGGGCCUUAUGGACGACUAGGAACAAAUUUACCAUCGACAUACUUUUCCUUCUAAGCCUAUUGAUUGCUUAUUUAAAAUGUGUUUGUUUAUGCAGUUGUGAAGAUCAUUGA